GCGGGAAUAGCUCAGUUGGUAGAGCAUCAGCCUUCCAAGCUGAGGGUCGCGGGUUCGAGUCCCGUUUCCCGCUCCA
Molecule: transfer RNA, 76 nt
Filed under: Nitrospinae bacterium RIFCSPHIGHO2_02_FULL_39_82
Lineage: Bacteria; Pseudomonadati; Nitrospinota
Also listed under: 22 other names
Description: tRNA-Gly
Rfam family: tRNA
About the family: Transfer RNA (tRNA) molecules are approximately 80 nucleotides in length. Their secondary structure includes four short double-helical elements and three loops (D, anti-codon, and T loops).
Source: RNAcentral